Non-coding RNA from Cadophora sp. MPI-SDFR-AT-0126, 75 nucleotides. The record is from the annotation of a GenBank genome assembly. NCBI's taxonomy places the organism in Eukaryota, Fungi, Ascomycota, Leotiomycetes, Helotiales, Ploettnerulaceae.
GUUACAGUUAGCUCAGUUGGUUAGAGCGUGGUGCUAAUAACGCCAAGGUCGCGAGUUCGACCCUCGUAGUGAUCA